UGCGUCUUGGAAGAGUGUUGCCAUCGUAUACGCUAAAAGCUGAUUGGCUCCGCCAUCUUUUGCUCAGAUUUCCGGAUUAAUUUGGAAGGGGUAAACAGAUGAUCAGUUGUUUAUUUUUCGUUUACUCUGGUUUAACCUCACUUAACUAGAUAGAUCGAGAAAUAUUAAAUUACUAUUACUAUUAUUCCGGUUGAAAAAUGCCUUCCUCUAAGGUAAAAGGUUGCGAAGUCGAUUGGGGAAAAAUAAUGUGAAAAUGAAUUCUUUCCCAAAAGAAUCUGAACGACGGAAAGUGUGGAUUAAAAAUAUAGGGUUAAAACAAGAUCCAAACAAAUAUGCUGUUGUUUGUGAAAAAAACUGUAAAUAGUAUUUAAGGCAACGAUUGUGAAUGAGUGAGAAGUCUAAUAAAGCGACGACAAGAUACUGUAUUAGAGCGUACGAUUUGGAGGUAUUUUUGAUUAGAUAAAUUUUGUAAAGUACAAUAUAAAUUAGAUUUGAUAAUGUGUAGUAUUUCCUAAUAAGUUAAAUACUAUUAAGUGUUUAUUGUUCUUGUAAGUUAGUGUGGUAAAUAAAUAAUAUGAAGUAAG
This is a long non-coding RNA of Diabrotica virgifera virgifera (western corn rootworm), 584 nucleotides long. RefSeq lists it as uncharacterized. The transcript is spliced from 2 exons. The record is from RefSeq and is a predicted model, not a curated record. NCBI's taxonomy places the organism in Eukaryota, Metazoa, Arthropoda, Insecta, Coleoptera, Chrysomelidae.